RNAcentral lists this ribosomal RNA (1491 nucleotides) under human oral metagenome. RNAcentral's name for it is "bacterial LSU rRNA". It matches the Rfam family "Bacterial large subunit ribosomal RNA", at positions 810 to 2106 of the family's 2925-position model. The record is from RNAcentral.
UGUGGGUAGGGGUGAAAGGCCAAUCAAACUCCGUGAUAGCUGGUUCUCCCCGAAAUGCAUUUAGGUGCAGCGUCGCGUGUUGCCCGGCGGAGGUAGAGCUACUGGGUGGCUGAUGGGCCCCACAGGGUUACUGACGUCAACCAAACUCCGAAUGCCGUCGGGUUGUAGCGUGGCAGUGAGACCGCGGGGGAUAAGCUCCGUGGUCGAGAGGGAAACAGCCCAGAUCGCCGGCUAAGGCCCCUAAGCGUGUGCUAAGUGGGAAAGGAUGUGCGGUCGCGCAGACAACCAGGAGGUUGGCUUAGAAGCAGCCAUCCUUGAAAGAGUGCGUAAUAGCUCACUGGUCAAGUGAUCGUGCGCCGACAAUGUAGCGGGGCUCAAGCACACCGCCGAAGCCGCGGACCCAUGACGUUGUUCCCUUCACCGUGCGCCUUGUGCGUGUGGUGGCAGGGGUUGUGGGUGGUAGGGGAGCGUCCUGCACCGGGGGAAGCCUGUGGGUGACUGCUGGUGGACGGUGCGGGAGUGAGAAUGCAGGCAUGAGUAGCGAUACUAGGGUGAGAAGCCCUAGCGCCGAAUGACCAAGGGUUCCAGGGCCAGGCUAGUCCGCCCUGGGUGAGUCGGGACCUAAGGCGAGGCCGACAGGCGUAGUCGAUGGAUGACGGGUUGAUAUUCCCGUACCGGCGAAGCACCGCCCAUGCUGACGCGCGGGUGCUAACCCACGCCCAGCUGCCAUACAGGCCGCAUGUGUCAGGUUCGCCUGACGGUGUGGUUGUGGUGGUGGGGUCUGGGGAUCCUCCGUGCAGGUAGGCAAGCGUGUUAACAGGGGUGACGCACAGUGGUAGCCCGGCGGACCUGAUGGCUUGGUCCGUUCAAGCGCGCAGCCCGUCCUCCAGGUAAAUCCGGGGGACUGUCUUUGAUGACGGGGGUGAGGCGUGAUGGUGACCUCACACUGGUGGGGGAUAACAGGGUGAUCCUGGGGUGCCGAGAAAAGCCUCGACGCGAUGGUGCCAGCCGCCCGUACCCUAAACCGACACAGGUGGUCGGGCAGAGUAUGCCUAGGCGCACGAGUGAAUCAUGGUUAAGGAACUCGGCAAAAUGCCCCCGUAACUUCGGGAGAAGGGGGGCCUGAUCCCUGAAGCCCCGUUGCGGGCUAGGGGGGAGGGUCGCAGAGGCCAGGGGGAAGCGACUGUUUACUAAAAACACAGGUCCGUGCGAAGCCGUAAGGCGAUGUAUACGGACUGACGCCUGCCCGGUGCUGGAAGGUUAAGAGGAACCAUCAACCUUCGGGUGAAGCGGUGAAUUUAAGCCCCAGUAAACGGCGGUGGUAACUAUAACCAUCCUAAGGUAGCGAAAUUCCUUGUCGGGUAAGUUCCGACCUGCACGAAUGGCGUAACGACUUCCCCGCUGUCUCAACCAUGAGCUCGGCGAAAUUGCAGUACGAGUAAAGAUGCUCGUUUCGCGCAGAAGGACGGAAAGACCCCGGGACCUUUACUA